CGCGGCCUAUCAGCUUGUUGGUGGGGUAAUGGCCUACCAAGGCGACGACGGGUAGCCGGCCUGAGAGGGCGACCGGCCACACUGGGACUGAGACACGGCCCAGACUCCUACGGGAGGCAGCAGUGGGGAAUAUUGCACAAUGGGGGAAACCCUGAUGCAGCGACGCAGCGUGCGGGAUGACGGCCUUCGGGUUGUAAACCGCUUUCAGCAGGGAAGAAGCCGUAAGGUGACGGUACCUGCAGAAGAAGUACCGGCUAACUACGUGCCAGCAGCCGCGGUAAUACGUAGGGUGCAAGCGUUGUCCGGAAUUAUUGGGCGUAAAGAGCUCGUAGGCGGUGUGUCGCGUCUGCCGUGAAAACCUGCGGCUUAACCGUGGGCGUGCGGUGGAUACGGGCACACUUGAGUUCGGUAGGGGAGACUGGAAUUCCUGGUGUAGCGGUGGAAUGCGCAGAUAUCAGGAGGAACACCAGUGGCGAAGGCGGGUCUCUGGGCCGAAACUGACGCUGAGGAGCGAAAGCGUGGGGAGCGAACAGGAUUAGAUACCCUGGUAGUCCACGCCGUAAACGUUGGGCACUAGGUGUGGGGGACAUUCCACGUUCUCCGCGCCGUAGCUAACGCACUAAGUGCCCCGCCUGGGGAGUACGG
Molecule: ribosomal RNA, 645 nt
Filed under: uncultured bacterium
Lineage: Bacteria
Description: bacterial SSU rRNA
Rfam family: Bacterial small subunit ribosomal RNA
Source: RNAcentral